Molecule: ribosomal RNA, 706 nt
Filed under: uncultured Methanosaeta sp.
Lineage: Archaea; Methanobacteriati; Methanobacteriota; Methanomicrobia; Methanotrichales; Methanotrichaceae
Description: bacterial SSU rRNA
Rfam family: Archaeal small subunit ribosomal RNA
Source: RNAcentral
GGAAUGCAUCGAGCUUGAAAGCUCCGGCGCUCAAGGAUGGGUCUGCGGCCUAUCAGGUAGUAGUGGGUGUAGCGUACCUACUAGCCUACGACGGGUACGGGUUGUGAGAGCAAGAGCCCGGAGAUGGAUUCUGAGACACGAAUCCAGGCCCUACGGGGUGCAGCAGGCGCGAAAACUUUACAAUGCUGGAAACAGCGAUAAGGGGACCUCGAGUGCCAGGUUACAAAUCUGGCUGUCGUGAUGCCUAAAAAGCAUUGCAUAGCAAGGGCCGGGCAAGACCGGUGCCAGCCGCCGCGGUAACACCGGCGGCUCGAGUGGUAACCGUUAUUAUUGGGUCUAAAGGGUCUGUAGCCGGCCGGAUAAGUCUCUUGGGAAAUCUGGCAGCUUAACUGUCAGGCUUUCAGGAGAUACUGUCUGGCUCGAGGCCGGGAGAGGUGAGAGGUACUUCAGGGGUAGGGGUGAAAUCUUGUAAUCCUUGAAGGACCACCAGUGGCGAAGGCGUCUCACCAGAACGGACCUGACGGCAAGGGACGAAAGCUAGGGGCACGAACCGGAUUAGAUACCCGGGUAGUCCUAGCCGUAAACGAUACUCGCUAGGUGUCGGCAACGGUGCGACCGUUGUCGGUGCCGUAGGGAAGCCGUGAAGCGAGCCACCUGGGAAGUACGGCCGCAAGGCUGAAACUUAAAGGAAUUGGCGGGGGAGCAC